AGAUUGAACGCUGGCGGCAGGCCUAACACAUGCAAGUCGAGCGGCAGCACGGGUACUUGUACCUGGUGGCGAGCGGCGGACGGGUGAGUAAUGCCUAGGAAUCUGCCUGAUAGGUGGGGGAUAACGGUUCGGAAACGGACGCUAAUACCGCAUACGUCCUACGGGAGAAAGGUGGGGGAUCGUUCGGACCUCACGCUAUCAGAUGAGCCUAGGUCGGUAUUAGCGUAGUUAGGUAGGGGUAAAGGCCUACCGAAGGCUACGAUCCGUAACUGGUCUGGAGAGGAUGAUCAGUCAACACUGGAACUGAGACCACGGUCCAGACCUCCGACGGGA
This 333-nucleotide ribosomal RNA is filed under the name uncultured soil bacterium. RNAcentral's name for it is "bacterial SSU rRNA". It matches the Rfam family "Bacterial small subunit ribosomal RNA", at positions 26 to 346 of the family's 1533-position model. The record is from RNAcentral.